UAAAUAUAAUUAGGCAUUCAAUAAAAUUUAAUUUAAACAUGGGUAGAGUGUGUGCUGUUAAAAAUUGUAAUACUGGUAGUGCAGCAGAUAAGAAACUACGUAAGGAGCUAAAUUUGAAGACUCCUGGAUUUUUUUAAGUACCCCAAAAUCCAACACAACGUCAAGAGUGGAUAAACUCUCUGUCAACGGAAUUAAAUAGUCGUCAGUACGUUUGUGAUUUGCAUUUUCCUGAAAAUUCAAUUCAGCAUUCUUACGUUACUAAUUUACCUGAUGGAGAGAUUAA
Cotesia glomerata is the source of this 283-nucleotide long non-coding RNA. RefSeq lists it as uncharacterized. The record is from RefSeq and is a predicted model, not a curated record. NCBI's taxonomy places the organism in Eukaryota, Metazoa, Arthropoda, Insecta, Hymenoptera, Braconidae. The transcript is spliced from 2 exons.